CACCCCCGUGGCCGGGAAGGGGGUCACAUGGACUGGUCUCAUCCAGAGCACUUUAAAGAAACUGAUAGAGCUUAUCUCGUUUAACUUGGCCUUUGGAAGAUGCUUGUGGAAAUUUCUGCAAAGGAGGUGACAUCAGUUGUUGUCACAGCUGCUGUCUUUACAUUCUCAUUAAAUCAAAAAUGAUACCAGAACUGCAGAGGUAACAACUCCUCUGAAAGAUGGAGUCAACUGGAAAAAGGCAGAAAGGGCAGCAGUCAAUAAGAGAAAUCUGGGUCGUCUUCACUUCAGGCAUUCAGUAAGGAAGAGGAGACAGCACAGUUACUCCUGUGUGUCUUCACAAGAGGAGUGUGUAUCACAGUCCUGCUCUGACAGCAUAGGCUCAGUGAAAUGAAGAAGACAAGCAAGUUUUCUACUGUUGUACACCAUAGAAAGUGUUCUCCAGUGAAAACCACAAUUUCACUUUGAUUUAAUGAGCAUGCCCUGAUGACAUUGUGGAUGCACAGGUUCCUUUUGAGUCCUAAUGAAGAAGUUUGGAGCUGGAGACCACAACAUGUCUGAAUUAAUUUUGAUGUUCAUUUUGCACAUUUCCAAGGAGUUCUCAUGAAUUUUCAGCCAUGACUCCGUAUGGGAAUAAUUUCAUUGUAAGAAGAAGGCUUCCAUUCUAUCAUGAAAAAAGGCUGCAUGGAAAUCACGGAAAGCUACAGAAGAAACUAUCAGUCAUUGUUUGAAAGCAUUGUGGCCUAUGGAGAUGGAAACCAGAACGUGGAUUUGCCUUCAAAUUUUAUAAGCUUUAGAAACCCAAAUGAUGAGAAACAAAUGCGAAAAGUUCACAAAAGCAGUGGUUGCUUAAAAAAAAAUAAUUCUUAAAGCCGUGUUGCUUUUAUGAUGAACAGACCUAGCAAGAAGGAUAUUAAUUAUCUUGAAUACCAUUGUUUAAGCAGGUAGAGCUAUUCCCAGUAUUUUUUGGCUGCCACCUAGAUUAGUGUUACAAUCCUCAGUUGCUAACAAUGAAGUUAUCAGCCACUGGAACAAAUUAUUAAGAGGAACAGUGAGCUUACCAUUUCUUGAAGUCUGCAAACUGAGAGUGGAUGGUAUGCUUUAGCAAACAAUGGAGACACAGCUGUGUGAAAUUAUAUGGUUGUACUAAAGAGAAGGGAACAUGAGAUAUUGUAUGUGGUCCUUUCUAGCCUUAAGAGCUACAGGUCUAUAAUUUCACAAAUAUCGUUACAAAGAACUCCUCAGAAGUAGUGAUGACCAUAGCACCAGUCUGAAUCCAUCUCCUGAUUUGGGGUAGAUUAUUCCAAAGUAUUUUAAAAAAUUACAGACUGUAGUACAGUUUCUACAUGUUUCUGUCAUUACAAGUCAUACUACUAGCAUAAUUUUACAAUAUUGGAAAUCCCUUUUUGAGGACUAGAGAGAUCCUUCCUCUCCCCUAAAGAGCUCAAUGUACUUCAGUGCAUGAAAGAGUCUAUAAAGUAAGCAUGCAUGCUGUUGCUUUCCUACCUGAUGCAUUUCAGUCAUUGAAAUCUGAAAUAAAUAUGCUAGAUUCACUCAGUGAAAUAAAAGACAAUCCAUGAAGGAAAUUCUAAGAUACUUCUCAUUAUUGUAGACCAUUUCUAAGCUAAACUUUAGUUUUCCUCUCCUUGUAGGGUGAUCUGGCACACUGCUUAAAAGAAGAUUCUUUUUCUUUUUUUUUCCUAUAGCAGUCCUCCAGCUGAGAACAGCUAAACCAUUUUUCCCCCCAUAUUUCCAGUGUUUUGGAGCAUGGAGCACUGCAGAAACUUAAAUCUAGUGGGACAGUUGGAAGUUUGGGGAAGCUGUACCUGACUGAACAGCUGGACAUGAAAGGAAAUAGCUCUUCAAUGUUGAGAUGUAUUUUUCUUGCUAUAAAGAAAGAAGGAAUUAAGUGACUACAUGUUUGGCAGAAAGGCCUUGCCAUUUCAUGAUGGCUCUCAAACAUCAUCUUUAUAACUCCAUUGAACUGUUUCUCUGAUAAAAAAACCUGUAGCCUACACUACAAAGGGCUUUGAGUAUGUGUAUAGCAUAUACUGUUAUCAGCAAUCACCGCCAUGGUCACAAAAGGUAUUCCCUCAGUAUGAUUGAACCGUCUCAUUAAUCAUAAGACAAAAUUACUCCAGUGCCAGUAUGUUUUCCAUCCACAGACGUGGGUUUGGUAGCAUAGCUAGGACAGCAUAGUUGAUGUCCUAACUAACACUAGAAGAUCUGAAAAAACAUCAUGGUAUAGCUUUUCAACUAUUUCAGGGAAACUGAUGUUAUUGUGUCCAGAAUGGAUAUGCAUAAUACCAGAGGCAGAUUUUUAGUUUUUAGAUUGUACUCAAUGGGCGGUUACUCUUGUUUCUGUGAGUGUCUAAAACUCUCUUUGUGGCUCACUUAUAUAUAUGUACAAUGUGCCUAAAUAAAUAUCUCAACUGUCCCUCAGCUGGAGGGCUCUUUGCAAGACAUGCUUUAGCCAAACACAGUGUGUCACUCAGAUACAAUGAAGGGAGCACAAUACAAGAGAGCCCAGAUUGCUUUAUCAAGCACUCUCUUCUGGUCUUAAGUUUCAUAAAUUUAUAACUUGUGCUGAUUCAAAUACGUUCAACUUUCUCUUGCUACCAUGUUUUGUGCUCUUGAGAAAAGAUGACUGGAAAAGCUGGAUGCUGAAAAAGAUGAGUGGCCUUUGACUGCUCUUAAGCUUUUCAAAUAUAUUAUCCUUUAAAAAAACCCACCAACCCAGUUUGUCAUAACAGUUUCAGCAUCAACAGUGACUAAUCUGUUUGCCAUGCAAAGGCCAUAGUGAAAUAUAGGUGUUUAUGUUUAAUACUUUGAUUUCAUAAAUCUACAAGAACAAUUCUGGGUUGAUUUGGUUGAAGGAACUGCUCAGUUUUAGUCCCCUAAAGACUAUCUGUGUAGCUCUCUUCUAAAAAGUAUAAUAAUAAAAAAAGCGGGGGGGGGGAGGGGAAUAAGAAGUCACUAAACAUUUGAAAGGUUGGAGGUCUAGACUAUGUUUCCAUUCAUCAGGGUUGUUCUCAAGCUGAUGUUCCCUUUGCUGUGUGGAUAUACAGAAAACAGUUUUCUUGUCCCACAAGGAUUCUGUUGAUUUUUAAAUUUUAAGCCUGGCAUGAGGCUCAGUGAAUGUAUGAGUGACUUAAGAAACAAAUAAACAUGUUUCAUUUUAA
Long non-coding RNA from Aquila chrysaetos chrysaetos, 3179 nucleotides. RefSeq lists it as uncharacterized. Lineage: Eukaryota; Metazoa; Chordata; Aves; Accipitriformes; Accipitridae. The record is from RefSeq and is a predicted model, not a curated record. The transcript has 6 exons.